Molecule: transfer RNA, 82 nt
Filed under: bacterium
Lineage: Bacteria
Also listed under: 1 other name
Description: tRNA-Leu
Rfam family: tRNA
About the family: Transfer RNA (tRNA) molecules are approximately 80 nucleotides in length.
Source: RNAcentral
GCGGGUGUGGCGGAAUUGGUAGACGCGCUAGUUUUAGGCACUAGUGGGGCAACCCGUGGAGGUUCAAGUCCUCUCGCCCGCA